Molecule: ribosomal RNA, 811 nt
Filed under: bacterium
Lineage: Bacteria
Description: bacterial SSU rRNA
Rfam family: Bacterial small subunit ribosomal RNA
Source: RNAcentral
UUGCUCUGGUGGAUUAGUGGCGAACGGGUGAGUAACACGUGAGUAACCUGCCCUUGACUCUGGGAUAAGCGUUGGAAACGACGUCUAAUACCGGAUACGAGCUGAGAUCGCAUGAUCAUCAGCUGGAAAGAAUUUCGGUCAAGGAUGGACUCGCGGCCUAUCAGUUAGUUGGUGAGGUAACGGCUCACCAAGACGACGACGGGUAGCCGGCCUGAGAGGGUGACCGGCCACACUGGGACUGAGACACGGCCCAGACUCCUACGGGAGGCAGCAGUGGGGAAUAUUGCACAAUGGGCGCAAGCCUGAUGCAGCAACGCCGCGUGAGGGACGACGGCCUUCGGGUUGUAAACCUCUUUUAGCAGGGAAGAAGCGAAAGUGACGGUACCUGCAGAAAAAGCACCGGCUAACUACGUGCCAGCAGCCGCGGUAAUACGUAGGGUGCAAGCGUUGUCCGGAAUUAUUGGGCGUAAAGAGCUCGUAGGCGGUUUGUCGCGUCUGCUGUGAAAACGCGAGGCUCAACCUCGCGCCUGCAGUGGGUACGGGCAAACUAGAGUGCGGUAGGGGAGAUUGGAAUUCCUGGUGUAGCGGUGGAAUGCGCAGAUAUCAGGAGGAACACCAAUGGCGAAGGCAGAUCUCUGGGCCGUAACUGACGCUGAGGAGCGAAAGCAUGGGGAGCGAACAGGAUUAGAUACCCUGGUAGUCCAUGCCGUAAACGUUGGGAACUAGAUGUAGGGACCAUUCCACGGUUUCUGUGUCGCAGCUAACGCAUUAAGUUCCCGCCUGGGGAGUACGGUCGCAAGACUAAAACUCA